AAGAUCGCGAGGUCUUGUGGGGAGGAAGCCGCUAGCAAAAUAUGAGCUGACGAACAGAGCAUCCUAUAAGGCUUAACCUGGAGGUGAGGUGGCCAGGGGCACUGAAGCUGGGUGAUCUAACGGGUAGAGUCAAUGAUGCAGUUAGGUAGCGAAAGUUCACGUU
This 163-nucleotide non-coding RNA is filed under the name Microbulbifer sp. THAF38. The record is from RNAcentral. Lineage: Bacteria; Pseudomonadati; Pseudomonadota; Gammaproteobacteria; Cellvibrionales; Microbulbiferaceae.